This 468-nucleotide ribosomal RNA is filed under the name uncultured bacterium. RNAcentral describes it as "partial 16S ribosomal RNA". It matches the Rfam family "Bacterial small subunit ribosomal RNA", at positions 28 to 507 of the family's 1533-position model. The record is from RNAcentral.
GACGAACGCUGGCGGCGUGCUUAACACAUGCAAGUCGAACGGAAAGGCCCUGCUUUUGUGGGGUGCUCGAGUGGCGAACGGGUGAGUAACACGUGAGUAACCUGCCCUUGACUUUGGGAUAACUUCAGGAAACUGGGGCUAAUACCGGAUAGGAGCACCUGCUGCAUGGUGUGGGCUGGAAAGUUUCGGCGGUUUGGGAUGGACGCGCGGCUGAUCAGCUUGUUGGUGGGGUAGUGGCUUACCAAGGCUUUGACGGGUAGCCGGACUGGGAGGGUGACCGGCCACAUAGGGACUGAGAUACGGCCCAGACGCCUACGGGGGGCAGCAGUGGAAAAUAUUGCAAGAUGGGCGGAGGGCUGAUGCAGGAACGCCGCGUGCGGGAUGACGGCCUUCAGGUUGUAAACCGCGUGCGCCUGUGACGAAGAGUGAGUGACGGUAAUGGGUAAAGAAGCACCGGCUAACUACGUG